RNAcentral lists this transfer RNA (90 nucleotides) under Devosia sp. Its description in RNAcentral is "tRNA-Ser". It matches the Rfam family "tRNA". Rfam says of the family: Transfer RNA (tRNA) molecules are approximately 80 nucleotides in length. RNAcentral also lists the same sequence under 2 other names. The record is from RNAcentral. Lineage: Bacteria; Pseudomonadati; Pseudomonadota; Alphaproteobacteria; Hyphomicrobiales; Devosiaceae.
GGAGAGAUGGCAGAGUGGUCGAAUGCACCGCACUCGAAAUGCGGCAUGGGGGUGACUCCAUCGGGGGUUCAAAUCCCUCUCUCUCCGCCA